This 18-nucleotide small nuclear RNA is filed under the name Arabidopsis thaliana (thale cress). RNAcentral describes it as "snRNA_05997". Lineage: Eukaryota; Viridiplantae; Streptophyta; Magnoliopsida; Brassicales; Brassicaceae. The record is from RNAcentral.
UCCGGUCCGCCGAUCGAU